Molecule: ribosomal RNA, 433 nt
Filed under: uncultured bacterium
Lineage: Bacteria
Description: partial 16S ribosomal RNA
Rfam family: Bacterial small subunit ribosomal RNA
Source: RNAcentral
AACGAACGCUGGCGGCAUGCCUAACACAUGCAAGUCGAACGAGACCUUCGGGUCUAGUGGCGCACGGGUGCGUAACGCGUGGGAACCUGCCCUUAGGUUCGGAAUAACUCUCCGAAAGGGGUGCUAAUACCGGAUAAUGUCUUCGGACCAAAGAUUUAUCGCCUUUGGAUGGGCCCGCGUUGGAUUAGCUAGUUGGUAGGGUAAAAGCCUACCAAGGCGACGAUCCAUAGCUGGUCUGAGAGGAUGAUCAGCCACACUGGGACUGAGACACGGCCCAGACUCCUACGGGAAGCAGCAGUGGGGAAUAUUGGACAAUGGGCGAAAGCCUGAUCCAGCACUGCCGCGUGAGUGAUGAAGGCCUUAGGGUUGUAAAGCUCUUUUACCCGGGAUGAUAAUGACAGUACCGGGAGAAUAAGCUCCGGCUAACUCCGUG